Molecule: long non-coding RNA, 2505 nt
Organism: Rhineura floridana
Lineage: Eukaryota; Metazoa; Chordata; Lepidosauria; Squamata; Rhineuridae
Exons: 3
Source: RefSeq, a predicted model, not a curated record
GAGAGGCUGCUGCUGCUGUGGGAUCACCACCUCCACCACCCUUCCCUGUGGGACUUCUGCCUGGCAGACCUGCAUCCUGCAGGACCAGGCCCCAGGUACCCAGCCAGCUGGGACUGAUUGCUACCACCUGUCCCUCUUUGGAGGGAUACAUAAGCCGGCUGGCUGGGGUGGCCUGGGAGACCCAGGGCCUGCAGGAAGAGAACAUCGCUGCCCAGGGAAGGAGAGGCUGCUGCUGCUGUGGGAUCACCACCUCCACCACCCUUCCCUGUGGGACUUCUGCCUGGCAGACCUGCAUCCUGCAGGACCAGGCCCCAGGUACCCAGCCAGCUGGGACUGAUUGCUACCACCUGUCCCUCUUUGGAGGGAUACAUAAGCCGGCUGGCUGGGGUGGCCUGGGAGACCCAGGGCCUGCAGGAAGAGAACAUCGCUGCCCAGGGAAGGAGAGGCUGCUGCUGCUGUGGGAUCACCACCUCCACCACCCUUCCCUGUGGGACUUCUGCCUGGCAGACCUGCAUCCUGCAGGACCAGGCCCCAGGUACCCAGCCAGCUGGGACUGAUUGCUACCACCUGUCCCUCUUUGGAGGGAUACAUAAGCCGGCUGGCUGGGGUGGCCUGGGAGACCCAGGGCCUGCAGGAAGAGAACAUCGCUGCCCAGGGAAGGAGAGGCUGCUGCUGCUGUGGGAUCACCACCUCCACCACCCUUCCCUGUGGGACUUCUGCCUGGCAGACCUGCAUCCUGCAGGACCAGGCCCCAGGUACCCAGCCAGCUGGGACUGAUUGCUACCACCUGUCCCUCUUUGGAGGGAUACAUAAGCCGGCUGGCUGGGGUGGCCUGGGUGUUUGUUUGCUUUUUGUUUGUUUCUUGUGUGCUGCUUUUUUUGUGUGUGUGUGGGAUUGAGGAGGAUUAAUUUUAUGAUGUUUUAAUUGGAAAUUGGUUUUAAAUUGUUUAGGACUGUGGUUUGUUUUUGUAUAUGUAUAUUAUGUAUAGCUUUUUGUUAUUGUAAGUCGUCUAGAGUGUCCACUAACCUGGACAGAUAGGCGACCAAUUGUGGGGUGGACUGAAUGAACAGCAUACGUUGGCAAACCACGCUGCUGUUCUCAGUACACUAUCUCUCAAGACAUUGCGAUCUGACCAGUGGAAAAACAGGAUGUGGUUAACUUUAUGGCUGUAAACGAUACUGACAUCUGUAGUGGUUAAAUAACUGCCUGCAUAUUGCCACGUAGAUAAUGCUGUUGUACUAUGUAUGUACGUGAUGUUAUACAAUAGUUAAAGGUCAUAGGCUGUUUAUGGAGAGAAAAUAAUCCACGCCUCCAAGCGGAGGUAAAAAUAAAAGCGGAGACGAGAAUUACGAGGGGGGCUCCGAAAUUGAACUCUGGUCUCACCGUGUCUCACUGUGUCGUGAUAUCUACAUCUGGUGACCUCGACGUGAUUCAGAACAAACACCCUCGUACCCACUGGCAGGAUCAGCCAACGGUGCACCUCAGCGUACAGCUCCCAUUCGUAGCUGCAGUACUGGCAGAAGUGACCAGGGAGAAACCGGUUCCGGCAUUUUCAGCAGUCGGAGUCUCUACCUGCCCCGCGGGUGCAGUUUCGGCAACUACCAAAUCCAGAGUGGAAAGGCCCAGUUCCGCUUAUAACGUGGGGUCGAGGUUACGCGGCUGUGUCUACGCCUGACGGUCCUGUGUGGGUACCUGCUAGGUGUAUCCGGCCCUGGAAAGACGAUGUCCUGGCACGAUAAUCUUAAGAAUCCCAUCCCUAAUUUUUCUCUGCAACUUCAGGAUACUGGGAUGUCUUCCAGGAAGCGUGGUCGGAAUGUUCCGCAACCUCCCGUGACUUGGGGCCAAAUAAAGAACUUAGCAACACAAGCAGAAAAAGCAAUGGAACAAGCCGGGGUGGACAAGACAACUGAGAAUACCAUUCUUGCUUUAAUUGCGUCUUUAAAUACAAAUUCUAUUUUUGUACUUUGCAUUUGUUGGAUUUUAGGAAGCGCCGGGGCUGACAGGUUGGGGCAGGAGUUGGGGAUGCGGUUUCAACACAAUAUCUGGGUUCAGUUAGCAAGAAUGACAAAUGUGAGUGACUUUUGCAUGACUGAACAUGUACAGGAAAUGGGUAUGUUGGGAACAUGUUUAAUACCCGUAUGCAAAGCACCUGGGGAUAUUGGGAACAUUACAGGACUUGGGCGGUUCAUGAAUACUUCAGAGAUUAAAUAUCAUACUGUUUCGAAUUGGGGAACUCCAACCUUCCAGCUGCCUGCUAAUGCUUUUCAAUUAUUUACAUCACAUGUUGCAAAUUCCAUUAAUAAUACGUGUGCUCGGAUGGUUAAUUGUAGUCGACAUAAGGUGCAGAAGGGAUGUCUAAAGGUUGGGAGACCCACAUGGAAUUGUACACAGCACAUUAACAUAUCCAGUAUGUACGGACACAUUCCUUUACCAGGUGGAUGGUUUUGGACAUGUGGAGAAACCACUUUUAAUUAUGUUCCCGCUAAUAUUUCUGAUACCAUCUGU